Molecule: ribosomal RNA, 253 nt
Filed under: uncultured bacterium
Lineage: Bacteria
Description: partial 16S ribosomal RNA
Rfam family: Bacterial small subunit ribosomal RNA
Source: RNAcentral
UACGAAGGGAGCUAGCGUUGUUCGGAAUCACUGGGCGUAAAGCGCACGUAGGCGGAUGUGUCAGUCAGGGGUGAAAUCCCGGAGCUCAACUUCGGAACUGCCCUUGAUACAGCACGUCUUGAGUCCGGAAGAGGUGGGUGGAAUUCCUAGUGUAGAGGUGAAAUUCGUAGAUAUUAGGAAGAACACCGGUGGCGAAGGCGACUCACUGGCCCGAUACUGACGCUGAGGCGCGAAAGCGUGGGGAGCAAACAGG